UGCCAGCAGCCGCGGUAAUACGUAGGGUGCAAGCGUUAAUCGGAAUUACUGGGCGUAAAGCGUGCGCAGGCGGUUUUGUAAGUCUGUCGUGAAAGCCCCGGGCUCAACCUGGGAAUUGCGAUGGAGACUGCAAGGCUUGAAUCUGGCAGAGGGGGGUAGAAUUCCACGUGUAGCAGUGAAAUGCGUAGAGAUGUG
This 195-nucleotide ribosomal RNA is filed under the name uncultured bacterium. RNAcentral describes it as "partial 16S ribosomal RNA". It matches the Rfam family "Bacterial small subunit ribosomal RNA", at positions 506 to 700 of the family's 1533-position model. The record is from RNAcentral.